UACGUAGGCAGCAAGCGUUGUUCGGAGUUACUGGGCGUAAAGGGUGCGUAGGCGGUUGUUUAAGUUUGGUGUGAAAUCUCCCGGCUCAACCGGGAGGGUGCGCCGAAUACUGAAUGACUAGAGUGCGGGAGAGGAGAGUGGAAUUCCUGGUGUAGCGGUGAAAUGCGUAGAUAUCAGGAGGAACACCGGUGGCGAAGGCGGUGGUCUGGGCCGGUACUGACGCUGAGGAGCGAAAGCGUGGGGAGCGAACAGG
This 253-nucleotide ribosomal RNA is filed under the name uncultured bacterium. Its description in RNAcentral is "partial 16S ribosomal RNA". It matches the Rfam family "Bacterial small subunit ribosomal RNA", at positions 524 to 776 of the family's 1533-position model. The record is from RNAcentral.